Non-coding RNA from Schizosaccharomyces pombe (fission yeast), 3896 nucleotides. The record is from the annotation of a GenBank genome assembly. Lineage: Eukaryota; Fungi; Ascomycota; Schizosaccharomycetes; Schizosaccharomycetales; Schizosaccharomycetaceae.
CGAGUUUGCGACUGACUUGCAGCCUCAAACAUUCUCAAAUGUUGCACUCAUCUUGGUAAAUUGAGCAACCGGCUUGUGCAAGGGAUGUGUGCGUGUCACUGGACGAUGGUUUGGAUGGACAAACUGCAAUGUGGAAACAACUGUUGCGUACUGGAAUGAAGAAGAAGCAAUUUUUCAAUGCUGCAUUUCCCACCGCUCCCGUGCGAUCCGAUCCGAAUUAAGCAAAAUCGAAUCGAAUCGAACUCAAUCGACUGUCCACUCGGUUCGGCUCGUUUUGCUUUAUUUCCUUUCUAAUUUUUUUUAUCUUUUACUCUAUUUUUGUAAACCCACGCCUUUUUCCACAGCUGGACUUGCGACUCGCAUGGAUUGUCGGCUACGUCAACCGACUUUGUCUGAUAAUUUGGAUCGAGAUCAGAUAAAUCAGUUACCCGAAAUUUAUCAGAUUCAUCAAUGUAAACGCUACAGACAGAAAGUAAAUAUGGCAUAAACACAUUCUCCUCAAUAUAUGAUAUUAGCUUGCAACUGUAGACAAGUCUAAAAAAAAGGAUAUUCCGGAAAACCAUUUCAUUUGGGAAUCGGACUGGUAUAUCUUUUGAUGGAAAGAAUUUGUUGGGUCGAUGUGAAAUACUGUUUCCCUUCCUCACGCAUUCACUCAGUCCUUGAUUCCUUCAAACAAUCUCUUUCUUUCUUUUUCAAUAUCCUAUUUCUUGUAUAGUAGUCGACUUUUUUUCUUGUUUCUCCUUUCUUGCUUCUAGUUGGGCCUUUACUCAUUUUCAGCAAAACCUUGAUUUUGUGAAUGGGGUAAUGAGUGCUAUUUUACGCCUCUCAAAUUUUUACUAUUUUAUCCCAGUUUUCACGUUUCCACGUUGGCUGCUUAUUCUACCUUCGCCCUCCAGAUGCGUGAAAUCUGCUAUUCGACUUUAAUUAUCGUAUGCGAUUUCCAUAGCUUCUGGUUUCCUUUGCGUUAAUUCAGCGUACAAUAAACUAAGUUAGACUUUGCUCAUGGUUAUAGUAUCUGACAUGGCUCGUCGUGAUCGUUUUGGCGUUUUACAGCUAGCUCGACUGUUUCAGCUUUAGCAAACAAUAUUCGUGAAUCAUUAAAUCCUUUCCGUUUCAAACCGUUUUAUUACAUUCAUUCUUUUGCCAUGCCGUGGUUUACCCACAAGUUAAACAGCAUCCCUGUGAGUACACCAUUAUUCUUGCUUGCCGCAAAGUUUACAAGAUGAACCUCCUUAGCCAAAGGAAUCCCUUGCAUAUGCUUUGAAAAACAAGUCCAAUAGAGAAAUUGAGUUAAACAGCAAGAAGUAAUACAUGGCUAAAUUGUUCAAAUCCUGCAAUACCAAUCUCUUCCAUAGAAGGAAGACAAUGGGCGAAUUACCACACAAUCUUCUAAUGUAUUAUUUCUAGCAAAAAAAGCAAGAAGCCUACAGCACCCCGGAUUCCCAUGUUGUCUCCAACCAUAGUACUAACGAGGCCCUCAGACGCUUAACUGCAGUGAUCGGACGGGAACUGGUGUUUUCGCCUAGGUAUGGCCGUAGACAUUUGCUUCAUUAAUUUAAAAGUUAUAUAUCAUUAGCAAUGUCUUGUAACAUGCUACUUUAUGGUAUUUUGCUCUGCAUCAUUUACUAGUAAGUUUACCAGUAAAUGGUGUGACGCGAAAUCCUUUUGAUGUAAAAUUAUAUCUUGUUUGAAAAAAAAAAAAAAAAAAAAUUACGUUUUAUGUAUAUCUCAUCACCCAAGCAUUCCAUUGAUUCACUAACGUAUAAGACUAAUUCUUCCUUUUGCUUCAACUUCCAUGAUUUAUGAAAAUAAAAUAACCGCUUUUUCUCCUUUUACAUUAUUCUCCAAAUACAUCGUCAUAUACCCAAGGUCAAGCCGUUACAGAAUACGCUUUCCUUUCAAUUUCAAUCAAACACUCCAAAUUCUCUGAACCAUUGCAAUCACUGCAAUAUCAGUACCUCAAUCUAUCUGCAUGCUGAAAUUUUGGCUGCUUCUUUUCCACAUUUCCCUUUGCAUAUUUAUGUACAAAUAAUUCGUAAACAUCAUUUUCUGCUUUACCAAUUGUGAACUAAUUCACUACCUUGAAUGCAACAACAAUUUAAGCAUCGCAAUUUUUACUGUUAUCUUAAGCAGUUAAAAUAAUCAGAUGUCCUUUUGUUGUAAAAAUAAUUGAUAACCAUGCUUUAGCGCUUUAAAAUAAGCAUCCAGUAUGCGAACAUUAAUUUGAUUCAGACACCCCUUGUCCAUUAUACAAUUAUUAUGACUCACAUAAUAAUUUAAAAAAAAGUAUUAUAACUAAAACGCCGGGUCGCAAUCCAUUAUUACCAAAGAUGUCUUUUACUGACUUACAAGAAUUGCUAUUUUAACAACCAACUAGGAAAUUUGCGCUUUGAAGUUUAGUCUCGUCAUUAUGCAAAAUAAUAUUAACGAAGCUAUAAAAAAAGAUUAAAAAAAAUAAAGCCGUUAGUCUAAUUAUACAUAAAAAAGUCUUACUAAAAAUUUGUUGAAAAAAUAAUGUGCGAAACGAACCGGUAAUCUUAGGUACAUAAAAUAAGACAGAAAAAAGAAUAAUUAAAAAGUAAAUCCCCUAAUUUGCAGCACGACGUCCGUAAAUACGAAGACGCUUGACGCCGCCAUCGGGGAUAAUUAUCAUACGCACAUGGGUCAUCGGGGUUGAGUUAUUUUGAAGAUUGGUGAAGACAUGUUCCAUAUGGGGACCGAGCUUACGAGCUGGUAAAAUCGUAACCCACUGGGCAUCGGGGCCAGGAAUGUGGUCAGGAGAAUCAAUGGCUUCUAAGAUGACCUCUUUAGGAUAAUUGCCUUUAAAGUGGUUAGUGUCGAUAAGAGCAUCAUCAAUGUAGCCUCUUGCGCCAAGCUUUACAAUAACCCAGUCAACAUGACCCUUUUCCCUACUUCUAGCAGUUUCCCAACCAUCGCCCAUGUUCACACCACGUCCAGGAAGGAGGAGAUUGUCCUUCUUACCAAAAUGUUGAUCACUACAUUGAACAACCAGUCCACCGAGGUACAUGUGAGCAAGAUCCAAACGAGCGUCCAAAUCGGCGGGGAAAACAGGCACAACGUUGCCAUAAAGACGGAAUCGAGCUAUACCGCCGUCAGGAUACAUACAUAAACGAACAUGGGUAAAAUUUUGCUGUGGUAUCUCCUUAAAGCGAUAGAUAUGUCUCUGAGUGGGUCCACAAGGAAGCUUAGGAAGUAUAGGGGUCCAAUUUGUUUUGGCGUCGGGGUUACCUUCCGGUAAAAAAGCAGCUUCCACACUCACUUCUGGAGCAUGAUUGCCGUUAAAAAAGGUAGUAUCAAUUUCACAGCCAGUAACCCUUCCACUUGAAGGCCCUAACUUAACUAUAACCCAGUCACAAGGAGCGGUAUUGUGUCUACGCGUCUCCCAUCCAUCAUACCAGGCACCCGUUUCAACGAAUACACCGGCUUUGCGAAUAGGGUCCGCAGGAUUGAUGAGGUUUUCGCAAGAUGCAAAGAAAUCAUCGCUACACCCAAGCACCUGACCACCAAGAGCUCGAGAGAUGAGGUCUACGCUGCUCUGGCCAAAGAAGGCAUCAGCCUGCUCAGGCGAAAGUCGUUCAACGUUUUCCACUGACAUUUUCGUAAAGAGAAAGUAAGAUGGGAAUGCUAAUAAACAGAAAGAAAAAGGAAAUUAGAGGUUCCAGAGCAAAGGGACUCGGAUAUGUAUGAACACGUAAAUAAGGGAAGAUGGAAGAGGAAAUCGUAUCAACAGAAAUCCAAGGUUAAACGAUUGUUGUAAUUUGCAAUCAAUUGAUUAGAAAAAUAGAAUUCAAUUCUCGUAAAAUUUAAGUAAUAGUAAAUGAAAACAAGAAAGUAUCGUGGAAUUGAAGUCGUUUUUGCGUGGCUUGUUCUAGCCA